RNAcentral lists this ribosomal RNA (459 nucleotides) under uncultured bacterium. Its description in RNAcentral is "partial 16S ribosomal RNA". It matches the Rfam family "Bacterial small subunit ribosomal RNA", at positions 338 to 795 of the family's 1533-position model. The record is from RNAcentral.
CCUACGGGAGGCAGCAGUGAGGAAUAUUGGUCAAUGGACGAGAGUCUGAACCAGCCAAGUAGCGUGCAGGAUGACUGCCCUAUGGGUUGUAAACUUCUUUUAUAAAGGAAUAAAACGAGGCACGUGUGCCUUUUUGCAUGUACUUUAUGAAUAAGGAUCGGCUAACUCCGUGCCAGCAGCCGCGGUAAUACGGAGGAUGCGAGCGUUAUCCGGAUUUAUUGGGUUUAAAGGGUGCGUAGGCGGAAGAUCAAGUCAGCGUGAAAAAUCCGGGGUCCAACCCCGUCGUGCCGUUGAAACUGUUGGUCUUGAGUGGGCGAGAAGUAGGCGGAAUGCGUGGUGUAGCGGUGAAAUGCAUAGAGAUCAUGCAGAACUCCGAUUGCGAAGGCAGCAUACCGGCGCCCAACUGACGCUGAGGCACGAAAGCGUGGGGAGCGAACAGGAUUAGAUACCCGAGUAGUC